This 274-nucleotide ribosomal RNA is filed under the name uncultured bacterium. RNAcentral describes it as "partial 16S ribosomal RNA". It matches the Rfam family "Bacterial small subunit ribosomal RNA", at positions 523 to 796 of the family's 1533-position model. The record is from RNAcentral.
AUACGGAGGGUGCAAGCGUUAAUCGGAUUUACUGGGCGUAAAGCGCGCGUAGGCGGCUAAUUAAGUCAAAUGUGAAAUCCCCGAGCUUAACUUGGGAAUUGCAUUCGAUACUGGUUAGCUAGAGUGUGGGAGAGGAUGGUAGAAUUCCAGGUGUAGCGGUGAAAUGCGUAGAGAUCUGGAGGAAUACCGAUGGCGAAGGCAGCCAUCUGGCCUAACACUGACGCUGAGGUGCGAAAGCAUGGGGAGCAAACAGGAUUAGAAACCCUAGUAGUCC